AGUUUCAUCCAAUCCUCAAAAGGCUCCAGGACCCUAAUCAGGUUAGGAACCUCUACUGCUUUAAGGCUCCAGUCCCAAGAUAGAAGAGAAAGGCCAAGGUCUGACCCUGCCCGGGAAGUGUGUUUUUUAAUGAGGCACUCUGGAAGACCAGUGUCCUAUUAAGAAUCAAAGGAAUGCAUCCUGGAGGGCACACUCUAGACCUUGGCACACACAGAAAAAUAUCUGGGGGCAGAGUCCAGCCUGCCAUUUCUCCAGUCACACGGACAACCAUCCUGUCUGGGCCCAGGUGGUGGGUGCCCUGAGAAAGAAUUACUUUAUUAUUAUUAUUUUCUUCCCUCAGAAGGAAGGGUUGGACCAAAACACCAGACUGUCCUCAUCGGGUGCUCCUCUCUGGGUUGGGUGGGUGAGCCCUGGAAUCCUGUAGGACACCCCUAAGGGGAGCCUUCCCUCCUGAGAGGAGACCGGGGUGCUGGGAUCUAUGAGGAGUGAAGGUGGAGGUAGGAGAUGGUUCUUGGUGACUGAGGCUGGCCUGGUCCCGACCUGUGCUCCUGGACUGGCCGAUGCCCUGGGGCUGGGGCUGGGUGUGGCCCCGCGGUAGGGAGGUGGGGGAGGGGAGAUGACAUUGCCUCCCAACGUGUGGGUAACGCUUGGGGUGCAGGGUCCCUGUGGACAGGCGGACGGGUGGGUCCCGCGGCCCCACAGCGACACCAUGUGUCAUCAAGAGGAAACUGCAACAGAGGUAGGCGUAGGACCCCAGCUUCCUCCCCCACAGCGUGCAGACCUGAACUGCACUCCUGGGUGAACUCUGGUAGGUCUCGAGCAAUGAAAGGGCUGGGGAGCCUGAAAGAGGAGUGAGAGGGCUACUAGUUAAUGAGCCAGGCAGGGUUUCUAGCAAUUGAUUGGGAAGGAUUUGGCCAUGAGCACGGAUCUGCCUGGCGCUCUGCGGGAAAGUAGGACCGGUGGUGUUGGGGGAGGCAGAGGCAACGCGGCUCUGGGAAGGCUGUGAAGGGAAGGCUGGGAAAGGAGGAGAGCUUCUAGUCUCUCCAACAGGAGAACUUGGUCAGUGAAGGAGGAGCACUGGACAGGGAGUCCAGGAUCUGGUCCUAGCCUUACACCUGACCAGCGUUUACUCCGGGGCAGCCAUGUGUGGAUUAACCUCAUGGGUCUCUCUAGAGUUCUGUGGGUCCCAGACACAGAUGUGGAGGGGUCACGCUGGGAGUGGUCAAGCUGUUGGUGAGAAAAAUGAGGCCGAGAAUGAGUAGCCUGGGCUCUGAGGCAGAGACUGAUACCUGGCAGGACCACACUUUCCCAUGUCUCUUGCAGUUAAGUGUCACCACAUGACUUAGCUCUGGCAGAGGCAAUGUGGGCAGAAGCGGAGUCACGUUCAGGCCUGCUGCUAAUCAGAACCACCCGUUUUGGGGGCUCCUGGGUGGCUCAGCCGGUUAAACGUCCGACUUCGGCUCAGGUCAUGAUCUCGCGGUUUGUGAUUUCGAGCCCCGCGUCGGGCUCUGUGCUGACGGCUCGGAGCCUAGAGCCUGCUUCGGAUUCUGGGUCUCCCUCUCUCUCUGCCCCUCCCCUGCUCGUGCUCUCUCUCUUUCUCUCUCUGUC
Long non-coding RNA from Acinonyx jubatus (cheetah), 1608 nucleotides. RefSeq lists it as uncharacterized. NCBI's taxonomy places the organism in Eukaryota, Metazoa, Chordata, Mammalia, Carnivora, Felidae. The record is from RefSeq and is a predicted model, not a curated record. The transcript is spliced from 2 exons.